RNAcentral lists this ribosomal RNA (478 nucleotides) under uncultured bacterium. RNAcentral describes it as "partial 16S ribosomal RNA". It matches the Rfam family "Bacterial small subunit ribosomal RNA", at positions 28 to 507 of the family's 1533-position model. The record is from RNAcentral.
GAUGAACGCUGGCGGCGUGCUUAACAUAUGCAAGUCGAACGAGAAGUGAAGACGGAAACCUUCGGGCGGAAGGCUUUAUUUCGAGUGGCGGACGGGUGAGUAACGCGUGGGUAACCUGCCUCAUACAGGGGGAUAACAGUUGGAAACGACUGUUAAUACCGCAUAAGACCACAGCACCGCAUGGUGCGGGGGUAAAAACUCCGGUGGUAUGAGAUGGACCCGCGUUCGAUUAGCCAGUUGGCGGGGUAACGGCCCACCAAAGCGACGAUCGAUAGCCGAUCUGAGAGGAUGACCGGCCACAUUGGGACUGAGACACGGCCCAAACUCCUACGGGAGGCAGCAGUGGGGAAUAUUGCACAAUGGGGGAAACCCUGAUGCAGCGACGCCGCGUGAGUGAAGAAGUAUUUCGGUAUGUAAAGCUCUAUCAGCAGGGAAGAAAAUGACGGUACCUGAGUAAGAAGCCCCGGCUAACUACGUG